Molecule: ribosomal RNA, 252 nt
Filed under: uncultured bacterium
Lineage: Bacteria
Description: partial 16S ribosomal RNA
Rfam family: Bacterial small subunit ribosomal RNA
Source: RNAcentral
UACGGAGGAUGCGAGCGUUAUCCGGAUUUAUUGGGUUUAAAGGGUGCGUAGGCGGACGCUUAAGUCAGCGGUAAAAUUGCGGGGCUCAACCUCGUCGAGCCGUUGAAACUGGGUGCCUUGAGUGGGCGAGAAGUACGCGGAAUGCGUGGUGUAGCGGUGAAAUGCAUAGAUAUCACGCAGAACUCCGAUUGCGAAGGCAGCGUACCGGCGCCCUACUGACGCUGAAGCACGAAGGCGUGGGUAUCGAGCAGG